GCCUCAGUAGCUUAGUUUGUAAAGCGUUUGUCUAGCAUAUAAGAGUCGUGGGUUCGUAUCCCGCCUGAGCA
This 71-nucleotide transfer RNA is filed under the name Aedes aegypti (yellow fever mosquito). It matches the Rfam family "tRNA". From Rfam's summary of the family: Transfer RNA (tRNA) molecules are approximately 80 nucleotides in length. Their secondary structure includes four short double-helical elements and three loops (D, anti-codon, and T loops). The record is from Rfam by way of RNAcentral. Lineage: Eukaryota; Metazoa; Arthropoda; Insecta; Diptera; Culicidae.